Molecule: small nucleolar RNA, 134 nt
Organism: Bombina bombina (fire-bellied toad)
Lineage: Eukaryota; Metazoa; Chordata; Amphibia; Anura; Bombinatoridae
Product: small nucleolar RNA SNORA72
Exons: 1
Source: RefSeq, a predicted model, not a curated record
UUGCGAAUCUUCUCGCCGGAUUGACUGUACCGUGGUCAUUGCCGGGCUAGACAUUCGCUAGAUUAUUACUAGCUAGUGUCCUCAGAGCUGGUGUUGUCUGUCUGGUUCUGGUGUUUUCAAUGCUAGUAACAUAU